This 492-nucleotide ribosomal RNA is filed under the name uncultured bacterium. Its description in RNAcentral is "partial 16S ribosomal RNA". It matches the Rfam family "Bacterial small subunit ribosomal RNA", at positions 29 to 507 of the family's 1533-position model. The record is from RNAcentral.
AGUGAACGCUGGCGGUAGGCCUAACACAUGCAAGUCGAACGGCAGCACAGUAAGAGCUUGCUCUUACGGGUGGCGAGUGGCGGACGGGUGAGGAAUACAUCGGAAUCUACUUUUUCGUGGGGGAUAACGUAGGGAAACUUACGCUAAUACCGCAUACGACCUACGGGUGAAAGCAGGGGAUCUUCGGACCUUGCGCGAUUGAAUGAGCCGAUGUCGGAUUAGCUAGUUGGCGGGGUAAAGGCCCACCAAGGCGACGAUCCGUAGCUGGUCUGAGAGGAUGAUCAGCCACACUGGAACUGAGACACGGUCCAGACUCCUACGGGAAGCAGCAGUGGGGAAUAUUGGACAAUUGGCGCAAGCCUGAUCCAGCCAUACCGCGUGGGGGAAGAAGGCCUUCCGGGUGGAAAGCCCUUUUGUUGGGAAAGAAAAGCAGCAGGUUAAUACCCCGCUGUUCUGACGGUACCCAAAGAAUAAGCACCGGCUAACUUCGUG